GUACUGAGACACGGACCAGACUCCUACGGGAGGCAGCAGUGAGGAAUAUUGGACAAUGGAGGCAACUCUGAUCCAGCCAUGCCGCGUGCAGGGAGACUGCCCUAUGGGUUGUAAACUGCUUUUAUACAGGAAGAAACCUACUUACGUGUAAGUAGCUGACGGUACUGUAAGAAUAAGGAUCGGCUAACUCCGUGCCAGCAGCCGCGGUAAUACGGAGGAUCCAAGCGUUAUCCGGAAUCAUUGGGUUUAAAGGGUCCG
Molecule: ribosomal RNA, 258 nt
Filed under: uncultured Bacteroidota bacterium
Lineage: Bacteria; Pseudomonadati; Bacteroidota
Description: uncultured Bacteroidetes bacterium partial 16S ribosomal RNA
Rfam family: Bacterial small subunit ribosomal RNA
Source: RNAcentral